CAGUCGCCGCGGUAAAACGAAGGGGGCUAGCGUUGUUCGGAAUCACUGGGCGUAAAGGGUGCGUAGGCGGAUUCUUAAGUCAGGGGUGAGAUCCCGAGGCUCAACCUCGGAACUGCCUUUGAUACUGGGGAUCUUGAGUCCGGAAGAGGUGAGUGGAACUGCGAGUGUAGAGGUGAAAUUCGUAGAUAUUCGCAAGAACACCGGUGGCGAAGGCGGCUCACUGGUCCGGAACUGACGCUGAGGCACGACAGCGUGGGGAGCAAACAGGAUUAGAUACCCCAGUAGUCCCUGUCUCUUAUAC
This 301-nucleotide ribosomal RNA is filed under the name uncultured bacterium. Its description in RNAcentral is "partial 16S ribosomal RNA". It matches the Rfam family "Bacterial small subunit ribosomal RNA", at positions 509 to 807 of the family's 1533-position model. The record is from RNAcentral.